CCUUUCAUUUCUACAAAGAAAUGAGCCGGAUCCUGGUCACAGCCUGAGACCCUAUGCUGUCCUGCGAGCUCCCAUGAAGAAUUAACUCAGCCUGUGCGUAUUAGUCAGCUUGGGCUGCCAUUACAAAAUACCAGUCUGAGUGGCUUAAAGAACAGAAAUCUAUUUCCUCACAGUUAUGAAGGAUGGAAGUUCAAGAUCAAGAUUUUUUUUAAAGGAAACUCCACCCAAUGCGGGACUAGAACUCAUGACCCCAAGAUCAAGAGUCACAUGCUUUACCAACCGAGCCAGCCAAGUUCCCCAAGGUGGGUUUUUUUUUUUUUUAACUUUCAGAGCUUAAUCUGAUUAUCUUAAUUUUAAAAAUUAUGUAAAUAUCCUUUCUCACCCUCCAUAAAAGGAGAAAUUUGAAGAUUAGUGAAAAAUAAAUUGAAGGUGGCUCAGAGAGCCAAACUCAACUAAUAUGAGGCCUCAACAAAAAUAGACUCAGGAAAGAGACAAAUGCUUAUUCACCACAACAGAACAAGAAUUAUCUUUUUUAUAGCUUGGGGUAAAAGUUAUGUUAUUGGAACAAACAGGUAAAAUUUCAAAAGAAAACCCGAGCCAUUAUUGAUAGAAAGUACCUAUGAUAGUCCUUUCCCACUUCCUCAGUGAAACUGUGGAUUUGUCAAAAUUAAUGCACCCACCAGCAAAGAAAGAUGGUAAAUUCAGUUCAACAGAUAUAGGUAGGGUACCUAGUACAUGACAAGCACUGUUAGUAGACAAUUUGGGAGACAGUAGUAGAUAAAAUAAAGACUCCUGGUUUCAUGAAACGUGCACUCUAGCUUGAGAUGUGUGGGAGAGUUUCCUUCAAUCACUUAAAUCACACGUUCCUGUCACUCAAAUAGAUUAGAUGAAAUGUGUAAGAGCUUACACUCUCAAUCCAGGCCUCAUGGGACUUCCAUAAUUAAAACCCCACUAAACAUCAGUAUAUAACCUAAAAUUAUAAAACAUACAAUGAAACAAUUUGGCAUGGGUGCUAUCAGGGAGUAUCUCAAAAAAGGAUUAGAUAUUAAAAUUAUGGAACUACUAUAAAAUCAGAACAGAAUGUUUAAAACAAAGACAAAAAUGGGAAUCAAAGCAUAAAUAAAGGAAUAAGAUACAACCAAAACAAAGCAAGGAGGAUUGAAAAAAUUUUGGAAUUUCUAGGAAAAAAAAUAACACAUUGAAAUUUUUAAAAACUAUGAUGCAAGGCAACUUCUCUGGGUACAUAACAUCUAAAAGUGCUGGAAAUUGUAAAACAUCACUACCAACAACUUACUACAAUAAUACUGAUGUAAAUGUACAGAUAUAAAUCGCAAGGAAAAUCAGAAAAUAUCUGGAGAUAAAUGAAAACAAAAACAAUAUACUAAAACUUAUGGGUGUACUAAAAGUAGUGCGAAGAGGGAAAUUUGUAGCUAUAAAUGCUUAUGUUCAAAAAGAAGAGGAGUGCCUGGGUGGCUCAGUCGGUUAAGCGUCCAACUUCAGCUCAGGUCAUGAUCCCGUGGUUUGUGGGUUCGAGCCCCGAGUCGGGCUCUGUGCUGACAGCUCGGAGCCUGGAGCCUGCUUCAGAUUCUGUGUCUCCCUCUCUCUCUGCCCUCCCCCGCUUGCACUCUGUCUCUCUCUCUCCCUCUCAAAAAUAAAUAAACAUUUUAAAAAAAAUUUUUAAAAAGAAAAAAAGAAAGAAAAAGAAGAAAAAUCUCAAAUUAAUAAGCUAAUUGUAUACCUUAAGGAAGUAGGGGGAAAAAGGGCAAACUGAACCCUAAAGCAGCAGAAAUAAGGAAAUUCAGAGUGGAGAGAAACUAAAAUAAAGCAUAGGAAAAAAAAAAUCAGUGAAACUGAAAGUUGAUUCUUUGAAAAGAUCAACAAAAUCAAUAAGCUGCUGAUUGAAUUAGACUAAGAAAAAAGAAGAGUUAAAUUACUAAAAUUAAAGUGGGGAUAUUACAAUGGAAUACACAGAAAUAAAAAGGAUUAUGAUACUCUGAAAAUAGUAUGCCAACAAACUGAAUAACCUAGAUGAAAUAGAGGAAAUAGACAAAUUUCUAGAAAUACACAAACUUCCAAAACUUACACAAAAGGAAUAGAAAAAUCCCAACAAUCUGUAACAAAUAGGGGGAUGAAACUGGUAAUCAAAAAUCUCCUGACAGGGGCGCCUGGAUGAUUCAGUUGGUUGAGGAUCAGACUCUUAAUUUCGUUUGGCUCAGGUCAUGAGUUCAUGAGUUCAAGCCCUGUAUGGGGCUUGGAGUGUGGAACCUACUUAAGAUUCUCUGUCUCUGUCUCUCCCUCCUCCCCUCCCUCCCUCUCCCUCUGUUCCUUCCCCUGCUCACUUGUUCUCCUUCUCUAAAAAAAAAAAAAAAAAAAAAAUCCCUGAACAGAGAAAAGCCCAAGACUAGAUGUCUUCAUUGUACAUU
This is a long non-coding RNA of Acinonyx jubatus (cheetah), 2423 nucleotides long. RefSeq lists it as uncharacterized. The record is from RefSeq and is a predicted model, not a curated record. NCBI's taxonomy places the organism in Eukaryota, Metazoa, Chordata, Mammalia, Carnivora, Felidae. The transcript has 2 exons.